Molecule: transfer RNA, 73 nt
Filed under: Anaeramoeba ignava
Lineage: Eukaryota; Anaeramoebidae
Rfam family: tRNA
About the family: Transfer RNA (tRNA) molecules are approximately 80 nucleotides in length.
Source: Rfam by way of RNAcentral
UCCCGUGUAGCUCAGUCGGUAGAGCGUUGGACUCUUAAUCCAAAUGUCGUCGGUUCGAGCCCGGCCUCGGGAG